GUGUCCUUGCAGAUGAUGGAGCACGAGCCUCUCUGAGGUCAAGCAUCACUCACAAGGGCCCUAGAUACACAAUGGCAGGGUCCCUAUCUCAGGGAACUAUUUUGCUGUUGCUCUAUCUCUAUAACCUUGGGUCAGUGACUGCCUCUGAGUUUUCGGUUUUCACUACUCAGUGUAAAAGCCCUCCUUAUCAGGUCGUUGCCAGUGUGUCCUGAGCUGGUGAUGUCGACACUUACCACGAAUGCCUGGGAGAUGACAAGUCCUCCCUUGAGAAAGGCUUCAGGAUGUUCCCCACCUCCAAGCCAGGCACCUCAUUCCUCCCACUGCUUCUGGACCCCUGGCCCUGCUCCUCUGGUGUCUGAUCUGCCUUCUGGAGAUGGCCCAUCUGAGAUUUCUCAAGCCUGGGAACACUGAUGCUCCUGCUGUGGGACCUGCCCCUAGACCAUCUCACCAAGCCCUUCCUGCCCAGAGCGUCAGGGCACUGGCAGGUGCCUAGAGUAGGUGUUUGAUAAACACAACUAGUGUCACUGGAAGCCUGAACCCUCCUCCCUUUGAAUCCCAUCCUGACACUGGGGCCUACUGAUCAAGCCCACCAGUGUCCAGCACUCUGAAGAGAAAUUACAAACUUUGGAAAUAAGGUGGGGAGGGACCCUUAGCGGAAUCACAUUUGUAGCUAACCUCUGGGGAACAUCUCUCUGGCUUAGUUCACUGUGGAAACCUGGUUCCUAUGCAGAAAUUCUUUUUUUAAGAGCGAGCAGAGCAUGUGUAUGUGCAUGUGCCUAUGCACAUUUUGGGGUGGGAGAGAGGGAGAAAAUUGUAGGCAGACUCCAUGCUAAGCUUGGAGCCCAACAAAGGGCUUGAUCUCACAACACUGAGAUCAUGACAUGAGUCAAAGAUAAGAGUUAGAUGCUUAGCUGACUGAGCCACUCAGGGGCUCCUAUACCGAAUUUUGGAGUGAGCACUGGGAAAGGGUAAGCAUGUCUGGAG
RNAcentral lists this long non-coding RNA (984 nucleotides) under Mustela putorius furo (domestic ferret). Its description in RNAcentral is "lncRNA (ENSMPUG00000031075.1)". Lineage: Eukaryota; Metazoa; Chordata; Mammalia; Carnivora; Mustelidae. The record is from RNAcentral.